Transfer RNA from Camelus ferus (Wild Bactrian camel), 72 nucleotides. It matches the Rfam family "tRNA". From Rfam's summary of the family: Transfer RNA (tRNA) molecules are approximately 80 nucleotides in length. The record is from Rfam. Lineage: Eukaryota; Metazoa; Chordata; Mammalia; Artiodactyla; Camelidae.
GAGGAUAUAGCUCAGUGGUGGAGUGUGUGCCUAGCAUACAUGAGGUCCUGGGUUUUAUCCCCAGUACCUCCA